This 327-nucleotide long non-coding RNA is filed under the name Carica papaya (papaya). RNAcentral's name for it is "long non-coding RNA (CPAP_LNC009318)". The record is from RNAcentral. Lineage: Eukaryota; Viridiplantae; Streptophyta; Magnoliopsida; Brassicales; Caricaceae.
AAAUAGAUAAAAUCACUCAAAUUAGGUAAUAAGUAGCUCAAUUGUGCAUUCAAAAUAAGUAAUAAAGAUGUUGUUUAUGUAUAUUAUCAAACUCCCCCACACUUAUCUUGUGCUUGCCCUCAAGCACUCCACAAUACCAUUCAAUAGUUCUCAAUCUUUCAUCCUUAACCCAACUAUCCCAACCAUUCCCUCAUAGCUCAUAUAUUACAUCUCAAUCUUUGAAUUAUAAAAACUGUCAUCAACUAGUAGUUCCAAAAUUGAGUUUUGUGAAAUCACACUAAUGGGCAACUGCUCUGACAGUACUCGAACAUAAAAUGGAGAGGUUUU